GAUGAACGCUGGCGGCGUGCCUAAUACAUGCAAGUCGAGCGAACGGACGAGAAGCUUGCUUCUCUGAUGUUAGCGGCGGACGGGUGAGUAACACGUGGAUAACCUACCUAUAAGACUGGGAUAACUUCGGGAAACCGGAGCUAAUACCGGAUAAUAUUUUGAACCGCAUGGUUCAAAAGUGAAAGACGGUCUUGCUGUCACUUAUAGAUGGAUCCGCGCUGCAUUAGCUAGUUGGUAAGGUAACGGCUUACCAAGGCAACGAUGCAUAGCCGACCUGAGAGGGUGAUCGGCCACACUGGAACUGAGACACGGUCCAGACUCCUACGGGAGGCAGCAGUAGGGAAUCUUCCGCAAUGGGCGAAAGCCUGACGGAGCAACGCCGCGUGAGUGAUGAAGGUCUUCGGAUCGUAAACCUCUGUUAUUAGGGAAGAACAUAUGUGUAAGUAACUGUGCACAUCUUGACGGUACCUAAUCAGAAAGCCCCGGCUAACUACGUG
Molecule: ribosomal RNA, 497 nt
Filed under: uncultured bacterium
Lineage: Bacteria
Description: partial 16S ribosomal RNA
Rfam family: Bacterial small subunit ribosomal RNA
Source: RNAcentral